Molecule: long non-coding RNA, 2314 nt
Organism: Pezoporus flaviventris
Lineage: Eukaryota; Metazoa; Chordata; Aves; Psittaciformes; Psittacidae
Exons: 5
Source: RefSeq, a predicted model, not a curated record
UCCCUGCCAUGCAGGACCAGGUGGCUUCUCUUUAUUUCCGAUCACUUCACUUAGUGAGGCAUUAGCAAAACCAUCAGAGAUUUAACACAACAACCAGCUUCGUUUUCACUGCACAGUUAACCUGGCCCCAUCUCAAGCAGGGACCUGCCCAUGUUUCCAUGACCUUGCUGACUCUGUGCUAAUAAUCUGUGUGUACGUGACCACUGAGACAGACUUUUGUGGUACUGGGAGGCUACAGGAUUCUUUCAUGGCCACUUGGUUGCCACAGGGAGCUAGAGGAGGUGCACUGGAGAACCACCACAAUUCAGAUGCUUCCUGAAGUUCUGCACUGCAUCUUGCCACCAUGCCAGGCUCCCUCUGAUCCAUGACCACAGCUCUGUGCAUCAGAUGUCAUUCCAGAGCAGCACAGCUCUUUCCCAGGAGAUAAGUGAGGGUUUUUUUUUUGCCUACACAACAGCUCUCCUGAGCUUUCCCAUGCUGGGAGGGUGGGAGGGAGGAGAUCCAGCUUCCUCCCUGUCCGAGCGCCAGCCCCGUGGGCCUGCCAUGGCACUGCUGGGAACAUCCAGGGGCAUUAUGCAAUUUGCAGAGGCGGUUUUUCAUGCAGCCUGGCAAGACAGGGUCUGAUAAUGGCUCUCCCUUUGUUUGUAGCACACAAUCGAGCUCAUGAUCAUCUCUCCAAGUACAGGCAGCCCACGGUGUUAUGUCCUGUACUGCUGUGAUGACGAGAGCAGGGCUGUGCACAGGAGCCCUGCAGUGCUUUCAUCAGUGAAUGCUGUGCUAGUUAGGCACAAAUCAUUAAUGGUCUAAAAAGGGCUGGAAUAAGCUAGCUCGGCUCUGGUGGAAGUGCGUGUUGUGUCUUUUUCAGGAGGCAUGGGAAACCCUUCUUAAGUCUGUUUUUAAGCUUCUCAACUUUGGUUUCUCAGUAAUGUCACUGAUUCCACUUUCCAAAAGGUCAUACAGGGGAAUUCUCUUCUGCCAUCUCCAAAGAAUGACAAUGUUCCUCUAAUGAAGUAACAAAUUGUUCAACACGAUGUGCUUAGCAAUUACCUUCCCCCAUAAAGGCAUUAACAGCAGAUGAAUACUCUUCCCCAGGGAGCAACAUUAGUGCUUUAAAGAACUGAGAACUGUUCUUGAUGCUGUUUCACUUUGAUUUCUGCUCCUGGCUCCCAGAGCUCAGGACUGUUGCUUACUUCACAAAGGUUUUAUUUCGGAGCAGCAACAGGACAAUAACUAAUUCCAUAGGUUAUCUAGAAAUAACUUCCCUUUAGCAAGAAGACAAAUUGCAACCAGGAAAUACUCAAUCACUCGGGAAACUGUGUGUGCUGUGGUAUAAACCCAAACUCUCCUGUGCCAUCAUGGUUUUGGAUUCAGAGGAGCAGUUUGAUUGAAUUGACAUCCCCAGCUUCUCUCAUCAAUCCCCUGCAUUUUGGGACUCCUAAAAUAUGGGCUUCUGAAGAGGAAAUGAGCUGCUCCACUGCCAACAGCAGGUUCUGGUAUUGCCCAAGGAGCAGCAGCAGGGGAAGAGCUCGCACUCUGUUAAACUGCUUUUAGACCAGCACCUACACAAAGUCCUGCACACGUUACUCUGCCACUCACAGAAGCGUAGCAGUGCCAGUAAAGCAGAGGAUGUUUAAGACAAGAAAUAAGCUCCAUGUAGCCAGUGGAAAACCUGCUUUAAAUGUCAAAGCAUCUACAAACAUGAAGUGAACACCUAAAAGCCAAAACACGUGCUGAUGCUCUUUUUCCAGUACACUUGGCCAUCAAGCUGACCAGCAUCAAUUCACUGACAUUCAGCAUUCUCAGAUAUCUCAGAGCUGUUUUCGAGUGCCCACGGAUGUCCAUUUGAUUGACGAGUGAGCAGCAGCCAAGACAGAGAAGUUCUUAUGAGUAUGAACUGUUCCCUUUUCCUGCUCAGAGCUCCUCCUAAGAGAAUUAGUCUUUAAAACGUUCCCUUUCUGAAAACAGAGAGGAGGGGGAGAGGGCUUUGGGGGUCAUGAAUGAACAGGAAGCCAGUUUCAGUUGUUCCUAUGCAUCACUGAUUUGAGUUUUCACCAUCAUUGGUUGCACAGGGCCAUGAAGAGGAUUGCUGGGUGAGCUGAGCACAGAUGAGCUGGUGGAGCAGUACUGACAAAUGUCCUGUGUAAAUGCGACGGCUGAUCUGCACAGGGACAUGUGAGCCAAGGAGGGAGCUGUGAGCGGAUUGCUUUGGACAGUCCAGUGCUCUCUUCCCCACAACUUCUGCAAGGGUCCGGGAAAUGAGGUGAGUGAGGCACAGAGGGUGGCAUGGGCAGGGGUGUGGGCUCAUGUUGGUGGC